This 252-nucleotide ribosomal RNA is filed under the name uncultured Glomeromycotina. Its description in RNAcentral is "partial 18S ribosomal RNA". The stretch from base 38 to 252 matches the Rfam family "Eukaryotic small subunit ribosomal RNA", at positions 684 to 899 of the family's 1831-position model. Lineage: Eukaryota; Fungi; Glomeromycota. The record is from RNAcentral.
GGGUCAGUAGGUUGGUCGUGCCAAUGGUAUGUACUGGCUUUACUGAUUCCUCCUUCUUGAGGAACUGUAAUGUCAUUAAUUUGGUGUUGCAGGGAAACAGGACUGUUACUUUGAAAAAUUAGAGUGUUUAAAGCAGGCUAACGCUUGAAUACAUUAGCAUGGAAUAAUGAAAUAGGACGUUCGAUCCUAUUUUGUUGGUUUUCUAUGGAUUGACGUAAUGAUUAAUAGGGAUAGUUGGGCUGAGAGCUGCCA